Dermacentor silvarum is the source of this 285-nucleotide long non-coding RNA. RefSeq lists it as uncharacterized. The record is from RefSeq and is a predicted model, not a curated record. The transcript is spliced from 3 exons. NCBI's taxonomy places the organism in Eukaryota, Metazoa, Arthropoda, Arachnida, Ixodida, Ixodidae.
GGAACAACAUAAUCUUUUAUGGACGUCCAGAACAUCUGAUUUUCUCUCCUCAAGUUGCAAACGGCAACAACUGCAAUGCGCUAAUGACUCUGGUGUCAUGUUGAACCACUUACAGCUCUGGGAAGGGAAAACACAAUAUUGGGCCUACUUUUGGAAUUUCGGCUCGGACGGUUCGAUAUAUCGUGAGGUCCAGGACAUGAUCCAAGUGAAACAAGUACUGGAAUAUCAAAACCGUACAAUGAACUGUUCUGUUGUUAAGGAUUGAGCAGUGGGAGUAUUACGGUG